UACGGGGGGGGCAGGCGUUGUUCGGAAUUACUGGGCGUAAAGGGCUCGUAGGUGGCCAACUAAGUCAGACGUGAAAUCCCUCGGCUUAACCGGGGAACUGCGUCUGAUACUGGAUGGCUUGAGUUUGGGAGAGGGACGCGGAAUUCCAGGUGUAGCGGUGAAAUGCGUAGAUAUCUGGAGGAACACCGGUGGCGAAGGCGGCGUCCUGGACCAAUACUGACACUGAGUGAGCGAAAGCCAGGGGAGCAAACGGG
RNAcentral lists this ribosomal RNA (254 nucleotides) under uncultured bacterium. RNAcentral's name for it is "partial 16S ribosomal RNA". It matches the Rfam family "Bacterial small subunit ribosomal RNA", at positions 524 to 776 of the family's 1533-position model. The record is from RNAcentral.